UAAAGAUAUGGAAAGAACGGAUCAACC
This 27-nucleotide small RNA is filed under the name Bombyx mori (domestic silkworm). RNAcentral's name for it is "piRNA piR-bmo-2151149". Lineage: Eukaryota; Metazoa; Arthropoda; Insecta; Lepidoptera; Bombycidae. The record is from RNAcentral.